UGGGUAAAGUUAUCGAAAGGUAGCGGCACAAAGCUAUGGGGCUAAAACAUUUUUGUCAUGCUUGCCAGGUUGCA
This 74-nucleotide non-coding RNA is filed under the name human gut metagenome. Its description in RNAcentral is "Cyclic di-GMP-I riboswitch". It matches the Rfam family "c-di-GMP-I riboswitch aptamer", at positions 12 to 83 of the family's 87-position model. From Rfam's summary of the family: GEMM was predicted in a large-scale screen for bacterial structured RNA regulatory elements. Genes associated with GEMM are involved in a diverse array of functions, including chemotaxis regulation, signal transduction, secretion and chitin. The record is from RNAcentral.